ACUGCUCCCAUCUUGGAUGUGAGGGAAGGGGUGAGGACUCCAAGGUGAUUUCUGACCUGAUCCCAUUCUCAGGACAGGUUAGACAGAGGAAGGAUUGGCCAUGAAAAGGAACAUGAGUGCAUGGCCCAGAGCAGCUUUGCGCACACACCUGAGUGAAAGCCAAAAGUUCCUUGUGGAGGAACCACUGUUCUUACUAGAGUGAAAGGGAAGCAAUUCUGCCUGGUUUCUCAGUCAGUGAGAAGAUCUGUGACAAGAGGAGCUAGAGAACAUUAAUUGGAACGUCAGUCUAGCAACCUAUUCCACAGGACAUCAGAGGUUUGAGUUCAAGGUGCCCAAAUUAGAACCACCAAAACCUCAAGGUGACAGAAACAUUGCCCUGUAAGUACAGCCAUUUGGAGCUUAAAGCCUGAAGAGGUGGCCAUUCCCAAGGUCAUUUCAGUCAGCACCAACUCACAGGAGGAAGUUACUCAGACUGUUCACAAGAAUCCCAUGAGAAGUGGGGGACAGGUAUGGAUGCCUUCUCACCUACACAAGCUACCGUGCCCCUCACAGAUACAGGAAGCAUACACAGUGGAAGAUCUCGGUGAGCCAAGAUCGCUGUCCUGGGCUGCUUUGAUACAGACACUGUACCCGCCAUAUCCUAAAGCUUCCUUCUCUCUGAGCUCCACCUGUCCCACUCCUGUGGUUCUGACUUGGUCUCCCUGGCUGCCUUUCUUCCUGACCUCUAAGAUGUCACCUUGACACUUGCUCAAAGUUCUAUUCCCCAAUGGUCCUUGAAGUGUGAAGAAGUCACAUGAGCUUUCCCCAGCCCCUCCCCUCCAGUUUCUCUCCAAAGGCAUCACUAUUCUAGUCAUCCUGGCACACAACUUUGUGUUUCAACUUUUUUGUUUGUUUGCUUUUCGAGACAAGGUUUCUCUGUCUAACAGCCAUGGAUGCCCUUCAUGUCACUCCGUAGAUCAGACUGGCCUUGAACGCACAGACAUCUGCCUGCCUCUGCCUCCCGAGUGUGGGGAUUAAAGGCCUGCG
Molecule: long non-coding RNA, 1026 nt
Organism: Mesocricetus auratus (golden hamster)
Lineage: Eukaryota; Metazoa; Chordata; Mammalia; Rodentia; Cricetidae
Exons: 3
Source: RefSeq, a predicted model, not a curated record